UCCUUAGGCCCAUCCAAAAAUCCUAACAAGGCAGAGAGGUCCAGUGUUGCUAUAACAGAAGAUAGAAGCUCCAUAUUCCAGUCCUGCCCUCAUAACUCCCUUUCCAGUGACUCAUCUCAGCUGUAAAAUGGGAAUAAUACCAGUAGUUUCACAUUCUUCACACUGUCAAAUAUCAAAUAAGUUGAUAUACACCCACCCCCUCUUCUCAACUCCACCCCAGCUGGUGGAUUAUAGCAGGAUUUCAAUAGUAAAAUCGUAACAUAGGCCAGGCAAGGUGGCUCACACCUGUAAUCCCAGCACUUUGGGAGGUGAGCGGAUUACCUGAGGUGAGGAGUACGAGACCAGCCUGGUCAACACGGUGAAACCCUGUCUCUACUAAAAAUACAAAAAUUAGCCAGACAUGGUGGCAAAUGCCUAUAGUCCUGGCUACUUGGGAGGCUGAGCAGGAGAAUGCUUGAGCCCGAGAGACAGAGGUUGCAGUGAGCCAAGAUCGUGACAUUGCACUCCAGUCUGGCCGACAGAACGAGACUCUGUAUAAAAAAAAAGAAAAAGAAAAAAGUAAACUAUUCUCUUUGGUUCAAUUUCAACCUGUAAAAAUUGUAGAUGUCUCCUUCAUACCUCUCCAAAAUAGUCCAGGAAAUCACUCAAGGGCAUCCCCUUUCUUCCCUGUAUGCCAGCCUACUCCCCUGCUCCUUGUGUGGGUCGGUGAUGACACCCCAACCACUGCUGAUGGAUGCAAUGCCCAGAUCAAAGGUGACUUUUCAUGUAUGCUGUCCUCUCUUGAAACCUUCUCUAACUCCCGUUUUCAUCAGACAGCCUCCUUUCCUACUUCACUGAAACGCAAACGGAGUUAGAAAAAUGAAAGUGUUAGAAAUACUCCAAAACAGAAACAAUUAGGUGGCAAUUCUGUCACCUUUCUGUCACCAGAUCCACAAACCUCAGCAACAGAAUCCAUUUUCUUCCUCUUCCCUUCAAGUAAAGGCAACAAUCCUGCUGUCAUGGGCUGACUGUAACUGAUCCUGUUGGCACCCUCAUCCCAAGUGAUGGGAGGUAGAGUCUUUGGUAGGUAACAAAGACAUGAUUGGAUUUUGUGAGUGGGAUUAGUCUCUCAUAAGGAGAGACCAGAGAGCUAACUAGCUCUCUUUCAGCUCUGUGAGGAUACAGUGUAAGAUUUCAGUCUCCUGCCAGGGAGAGGACCCUCACCAGAACCAGAUGGCUGAUAUCCUCGGAGUUCUUGGACUUCCAGCUUCCAGAACAGUGAGAAAUCGCUUUCUGCUAUCAAUAAGCCACUCAUCUACGAUAGCCUGUCACACGGCCUGAACUGACGAAGACACCUUCCCUUAACAAAGAACAGUCCUUUCAUUUGUGUUCUAUAUCGUAACCAUUCUCACCUGGGGACAGCUAUGUUCUUUCACUUCUUCCUCUUCACUGUAUCAUUAAUCUGACUCUGUUUGGUCAUUUCACCUCUAUGGGAACACACGUUUAAAAUUUCAUAGUCCUUCUACUUCCCGCCUUCUCAGCUCCUCACUCAUAACCAAAUAUCUGAGAUUUGUCUGUACCCACUGGCUCUACUUUUGCACCUCCAUGCCAUAUUAUUUCAAUAAGUUUAGUCAGUACAAUACCCAUUUGCAAUUUAAAUCGUUACACAGAAGUACAAGUUUUAAAAGGAAAAGCAAUAGCUUCCUGUCUCAAAAGUGGAACCCAUAAUUUCCACUUUCCAGAGAAGAUCACUUUCAAUUCUCAAAACUGUUUCUUAUUGAAUUCUACAGCACACUUGGUUAGCUUGGUUGCUGAAACCAUUGGUCUGUGUGCCUUUUUCAAUGGUAGGUCUUUAAGCACCCUCCAAACCUUUCUUUUCUUUUCUUUUUUUUCAGGGACGGGGUUUCACCAUCUUGGCCAGGAUGCUCUUGAACUCCUGACCUUGUGAUGCACCCAACUCAGCCUCCCAAAGUGCUGGGAUUACAGGCGUGAGCCACUACACUUGGCCUUCUUUUUUAAUUGGUAUUUUUAAGUCUUGCAUUUCUUUUUCUUGGCUCAACUUGGAUUAUUUACAUUUUGCGAGAAACUCCCUCUGGGAUUUCAAUGUUGUGUUAUAUGCCUUUUAUGAGUGACUCCCAAAUUCAUAUUUCGGUCUCUGUCUCUAUAUAAUGGACCACAUAACAUCUCCACUUGCAUACCUAAUGCCAUUUCAAAAUUAACAUGUUCAAAACUCAGCUGCUGCUAUCUAUACCCAAAUGUGCUAUCUAAACCCAAAAUUUUUCCUCGGCUAAAUAAAUGGCAACUCCGUUCUUCAAUUGCUCAAACCAAAGCUUUGGAGUCACCUUUUAAUUUUUUUCUUUCUCUCAUAUCCCGUCCAUCUAAAAAUCCUUUUGGCAUUCUAUUCACAAAAUAUACAGAAUCUGAACACUUCUUACCACCUCUUCUGCUGUAAGCUGAUCAAAGCAACAAUCACUUUCCAUGUUCACUGAGAACUUCUAUGGGGGGAUGGAACAGUCCUACUCUGCAGUUGCCUUUCUGGAGCUCAUUCUCCAUAUAGCACCCAAUGUACAUGUUUAAGACUCUGUAUACUAAUUUGUUUAAAAUUAGUAAACAUCCACUGAGUUCCUGGGUCACUCAGUCCUUAUAAUGGUUUACAAGGCCUUACAUGUUUCAUCUGCUGCCACUCAACUUAUUUUGCCUUGUAACACCCUUCCCUCUCUUUAUACUCCUGCCAUGCAAGCCCGUUUGCUGCCUGUUAAGCAUGCCAAGCACACUCCUGCCUUAGAGCAUUUGAGCUCGUCCCUUCCACGGAAGCAGUGUUAUUCCUUUAGUGUGGCUUGAUCUGCUUCUUUCAGGCCUGUUCUACAUAGUUACCUAUUGCUACAACAAUGCUGCAUAGCAAGCAAUGAAGAAACAUUAGUGGCACUCCAACAAUAAAUAUUUAGUUGUGAAUUUCAGCUAAGCUGGGCAGGACUUGGCUGGUCAUGCAUGGGCUCAGUCAUGUGUCCACCUUCAGCUGUGGGUCAGUGAGUCACCUCUUGCUGAUCUCGAAUGGGCAGACUGAUAUAUCUGAGGGUCAGCUGGCUACUGGAUGAUCCAGUAUGUCCUCAGCAGUGAUGCCUGGGGUUACCAACUCUUUCACCCUCCAGCAGGCUAGCCCUGGCAUAUUGUUAUGGUGCAGCCAAGGAACAAGACACAUGCGAAAUUAUGGCAGGACUUUCUCAAAAAAGCUUUAUGACUUCCUCCAGCUUCUGCUUUUGCCUCAUCUAUGAAAAAGCUUUUUUAGGGAAGUGAGAUAUUAACGGAUGAGGCUAAUAGAAGCUUGAGAAAGUGCUGUCACAAUUUCACAUGCCUCUGAAUCAGUCUAGAUUCAGCAGUUGAAAUAAAAUAGAUCCUACUUUUGGUGAAAAGUGAUGCAAAGUCCCAUGGCAAAAAGUCUCAAUAAAAGAGGAAUGAAGCAUGAGAGCAGUGAUGGAAUCAGUCAGCCACAGCAUCUUUUCAGUGAGAACUUCCUGACCACCCAAUAUAAAACAGCAUCUUCCCCUCACACACAUUCUUAUCACUCUUAUCCAGCUUUGCUUUUAUAUCUGUGCCUGGAAUCCUUAUAUGUAUCAAUCAUGGUUCAAUCAAGAAAGUGAACCACUAGGAGAUAUAUGUUGACAUUUAUUGCAGAGUUGUCUUUUGUGAUUGUGGAGGAUGGCUGGGCUGGCCAGAAGUCCACAGGAAGGCACCAGGAAGGAUAGGUGGCUCCUCUGAGGCUGGAGCUAAAGCCUGCAGUCCACGGUGGGGAUUUCUUCUUCCUCAGGGAUGCCUCAGUUCUGCUCUUCAGGCCUUUCACCUGAUUCAAUCAGAUUAUCUAGGGUAACGUUCCUCACUUAGUGAACUGACGUGUAUUUUAGUUCAUCUGCGAAAUACCUGCACUGCAACACCUAUAAUCAGUGCUUAAUUUAAUAACUGGUGACUAUUAAUGAAUUAACAGCCAAACCUUGCUGACACAUAAAACUAUCAUUCCAUGCAUUUAAUUUUUAUUUAUUUACUACCUGUCUGCCCCCCAAGAAAGUUCACUCUGUGUAGGCUGGGACUUCUCUUUAUUUUUCCAGGGAUGGGAAUAAGGCUGCAUCAGGUCAACCCUGAAUAAUUGUAAAAUUGUACUUCACUGAUUUUAUAAAUAAUAUGCUUAAGUUGCUAUUUAUUUUUAAAGUCAGUCUUAUACAAUAUGUUGAUUUUCUCCUGUGACAUGAUACAGUCCCUUAUGUUUUUCCUCCCCACUGCCACCCACACAUUUUCUAUCUGCCCAUAUUCUCAUUUUAGUUUUACAGCACAGUUUAUGAUGAAUAAAAAUUCAAUGUCCACAUUAUUGUGACUGUCAGUAUUUUUCAGAGCAAAGACAUCUAAUGCACUGUGACCACAUUUUCAGUGUUGUAUAUAUGUGUGUGUGUGUGUGUGUGUGUAUUUUAUUUCUCAUGGAGUUCGUUGCCUAAUUUUUUAUCUGCUAACUUUUUCUAAGUAUGUAUUCCCAAAUAUUUCUCAAAAACUUUAAAUUAAGCUGGGCACAGUGGCUCACGCCUGUAAUUCCAGCACUUUGGGAGGCCAGAGAGGGCGGAUCACGAGGUCAAGAGAUCGAGACCAUCCUGGCCAACAUGGUGAAAUCCCAUCUCUACUAAAAAUACAAAAACUAGCUGGGCGUGGCGGCAUGCACCUGUAAUCCCAGCUACUCAGGAUGCUGAGGCGGGAGAAUUGCUUGAACCCGGGAGGCAGAGGUUGCAGUGAGCCGAGAUCGUGCCAUUGCACUCUAGCCUGGCACCUUGUGACAGAGCAAGACUCUGUCUGAAAAAAAAAAAAAAACCAACUUUAAAUUAUCAUUGGCCUCCAAAUAUACUGAUAUAGAUUGGGUUAGGUAUCAGUGUCCUGUUUUGUCGUCUUCCUCCAUCUUCCCUCAUUGCCUUGUAGGUGUGCUGCAUCUUCGUCAUCUGGGACACUCCUUCGCCACUUUUCUCUUCUGACUUUGAUCUCCUGUUUCCUGAAUUCUAAGUUUUCUUUUUCCUGGUUUUUUCUUACAUUUUUAUUAUAUUGUUAUGAUAAAUUACAGCCUUUAACAUAGAAAUAUGUUCUCCCUCAUUUAUUUAAUGCUUUUAAAUUUUUUCUUUGCGCUUUAUCAGGUACGUCUUUGUCCUUUUAUUUUUGGCCUUUCUGAGUCUCUGUUUUAUG
This 5187-nucleotide long non-coding RNA is filed under the name Callithrix jacchus (white-tufted-ear marmoset). RNAcentral describes it as "lncRNA (ENSCJAG00000069741.1)". The record is from RNAcentral. Lineage: Eukaryota; Metazoa; Chordata; Mammalia; Primates; Cebidae.